Molecule: long non-coding RNA, 981 nt
Filed under: Parus major (Great Tit)
Lineage: Eukaryota; Metazoa; Chordata; Aves; Passeriformes; Paridae
Description: lncRNA (ENSPMJG00000004312.1)
Source: RNAcentral
CUCAGUCACACUGAAUCCUCAUUUUGUUUCUUUUUCUUCAAUGUGGCCCUUGCACUGUGUUUGACUUUAUGCCAUUAAAAAUUUAUGCUUUUUGGAUGACCAAAUUACUUUUUUGAGAUUAAUCCCAUAUUCUUGCUUAUGAUAUAGCUAUUCUGAGCCAGCUUUCUUGUCCCUGGACAAUCUGAAUGGACUCGACCUUGGUGGGGACUGGAGUAUAAAGAGGCACCACUAUUCCUUCUUCCUGCUUCUGCCAACUCAGUUUCCAGUGAGGAAGGUUUAGCAAUAAAGAAAACAUUUACAUGGAAGAGUUAUUACAUGCAUCUGCUUUUCUCUUCCCCUGAGAGCAAUUAUGAACUAUUUGAGAAGGGCUGUCCUUGACUGCAAUAUUUCUAUGUAUCACCACCAGCAGCUGUAGCGAUGGAAGCACCUGUGCAGGCCACCCUGCAGUGAGACAGCAAGUCAUUAACUGUUCUCAGACCUCUUCUAGAGAAAGUGCUAACCCAAACACCAUUAGUCAAUUUGUGGUAGAGUUUGCUUUGUGGAUGUUUAAUACCAAAAUAGCUGAAUAGUUUAAUAUCAUUUCUAGUUCAAUAUCUAAUAGCUAAUUACGUGUCGUAAAAAAACCCCAAAAAAUGAAACAGACAACUGUGUCAAGAAAAAAAUGCUUGCAUGUUUUUUAUUUUUUUAAAAUCUGUAUAAAGCUUGAAUGUAGUGUCAUGGAUGACUUUUUAUGGAAAGCACUCAAAUUUCCUCUAGGUCAGAUUCCUUGGAGAACUUUCUUUUUUCUUAGACCUGGAGGAGCAUUAUUUUCUUGGGAAAUUUUUACCCAUUCACAUUAUCUCAGGGACUCAGAAUUUUGGGCCUUUUAGUUACAGUGCAGCUUGAGAUAGCUAGGAUGAAGAAGCAGGUUGCUUUUCCCACUUCUCCAUGUGCUGCUUUCAUUGACUGUAGGACUGUGAUUACCCCUGAAAUUAUCAAGCC